RNAcentral lists this ribosomal RNA (305 nucleotides) under Burkholderia latens. RNAcentral's name for it is "partial 23S ribosomal RNA". It matches the Rfam family "Bacterial large subunit ribosomal RNA", at positions 1 to 308 of the family's 2925-position model. Lineage: Bacteria; Pseudomonadati; Pseudomonadota; Betaproteobacteria; Burkholderiales; Burkholderiaceae. The record is from RNAcentral. RNAcentral also lists the same sequence under 1 other name.
GUUAUAGGGUCAAGCGAACAAGUGCAUGUGGUGGAUGCCUUGGCGAUCACAGGCGAUGAAGGACGCGGUAGCCUGCGAAAAGCUACGGGGAGCUGGCAAACGAGCUUUGAUCCGUAGAUGUCCGAAUGGGGAAACCCACUCCUUAUGGAGUAUCCAUGGCUGAAUACAUAGGCCAUGCGAAGCGAACGCGGUGAACUGAAACAUCUAAGUAACCGCAGGAAAAGAAAUCAACCGAGAUUCCCAAAGUAGUGGCGAGCGAAAUGGGAUGAGCCUUGCACUCUUUAUUUGUAUUGUUAGCCGAACGC